Molecule: long non-coding RNA, 214 nt
Organism: Bufo bufo (common toad)
Lineage: Eukaryota; Metazoa; Chordata; Amphibia; Anura; Bufonidae
Exons: 3
Source: RefSeq, a predicted model, not a curated record
AAUGGGCCAAAGCUGAUAGCCGAGGCCGGGCAGAAUUCGUAAAACAAACCAAAACCCGCUGGGCGAGUUGCCGGGACCAAUUCCGGCGGGAGAUUACCAGCAAAGGCCGGAGUGGGGAGGGAACCUCCAGGAAACGGGCCUACAUUUAUACUGCCCAGUUGCAGUUUUUAAGGCCAGUAAUGGAAUUGAGGCCUACUGUGGACAGUCUGGAUCC